Long non-coding RNA from Asparagus officinalis (garden asparagus), 634 nucleotides. RefSeq lists it as uncharacterized. Lineage: Eukaryota; Viridiplantae; Streptophyta; Magnoliopsida; Asparagales; Asparagaceae. The record is from RefSeq and is a predicted model, not a curated record. The transcript is spliced from 4 exons.
UCGAGUCCGAUAAGGCCGAUAUGAACGUGGAAACCUUCUACGAUGGGUAUCUCGCCUCAAUCAUGGUCGAAGAGGGAGGCGUCGCCCCCGUGGGCUCGGCGAUUGCGUUGCUCGCCGAGACCGAGGCCGAGAUCGAGCAGGCCAGGUCAAAGGCCCAACCUUCCUCCUCCUCAUCCGAAACCCUAGAUUCAUAUUCCCCUCCGGCGCAGCAAGAAGCCCUAGAUUCAGAAAGGGAAUUUCCGAGGGAAGACAAGGAAGGGAGGCACAAAAUUUAGUGCGUGUGUAUCUGGAAAAUUUGCGGCCUAAGGAAGUUGGUACGGAUGUGCUGAUUACUGCCUAUGAACCUGUCUUAAUCAAGAACUUGAAUUUGAUUAUCUUGGAAGCAUAGAGCAACUUGUCAUGAGGUUACAAGCAAACUGGAAUAUUUAAACAGUUGUUCCCUUCUUUAUUUUCUUUCACAUUUUCCUCUCUUUUCAUUGUGUUUCUUUUUUUCCUCCAUGGAUUACAAGCAAACUGGAAUAUGUAAACAGGUCUUUGAGUGUUGACUUAGAACUGGAAAUGAAUGUAACUAUUUUGUAAUGGGAGCAAAUUCUUUGUUUAUCAUACUAUACAACUUGUUUGGAGUAUAAUUUGA